RNAcentral lists this ribosomal RNA (456 nucleotides) under uncultured bacterium. RNAcentral describes it as "partial 16S ribosomal RNA". It matches the Rfam family "Bacterial small subunit ribosomal RNA", at positions 355 to 803 of the family's 1533-position model. The record is from RNAcentral.
UGGGGAAUUUUGGACAAUGGGCGAAAGCCUGAUCCAGCAAUGCCGCGUGUGUGAAGAAGGCCUUCGGGUUGUAAAGCACUUUUGUCCGGAAAGAAAUCCUUGGCUCUAAUACAGUCGGGGGAUGACGGUACCGGAAGAAUAAGCACCGGCUAACUACGUGCCAGCAGCCGCGGUAAUACGUAGGGUGCAAGCGUUAAUCGGAAUUACUGGGCGUAAAGCGUGCGCAGGCGGUUUGCUAAGACCGAUGUGAAAUCCCCGGGCUCAACCUGGGAACUGCAUUGGUGACUGGCAGGCUAGAGUAUGGCAGAGGGGGGUAGAAUUCCACGUGUAGCAGUGAAAUACGUAGAGAUGUGGAGGAAUACCGAUGGCGAAGGCAGCCCCCUGGGCCAAUACUGACGCUCAUGCACGAAAGCGUGGGGAGCAAACAGGAUUAGAUACCCUGGUAGUCCACGCCCU